This 497-nucleotide ribosomal RNA is filed under the name uncultured bacterium. Its description in RNAcentral is "partial 16S ribosomal RNA". It matches the Rfam family "Bacterial small subunit ribosomal RNA", at positions 28 to 507 of the family's 1533-position model. The record is from RNAcentral.
GAUGAACGCUGGCGGCGUGCCUAAUACAUGCAAGUCGAGCGAACAGAUAAGGAGCUUGCUCCUUUGACGUUAGCGGCGGACGGGUGAGUAACACGUGGAUAACCUACCUAUAAGACUGGGAUAACUUCGGGAAACCGGAGCUAAUACCGGAUAACAUAUUGAACCGCAUGGUUCAAUAGUGAAAGGCGGCUUUGCUGUCACUUAUAGAUGGAUCCGCGCCGUAUUAGCUAGUUGGUAAGGUAACGGCUUACCAAGGCAACGAUACGUAGCCGACCUGAGAGGGUGAUCCGCCACACUGGCACUGAGACACGGUCCAGACUCCUACGGGAGGCCGCAGUAGGGACUCUUCCGCAAUGCGCGAAUGCCUGACGGAGCACCGCCGCGUGAGUGAUGAAGGUCUUCGGCUCGUAAAACUCUGUUAUCCGGGAAGAACAAAUGUGUAAGUACCUGUGCACAUCUUGACGGUACCUGAUCAGAAAGCCACGGCUAACUACGUG